This 452-nucleotide ribosomal RNA is filed under the name uncultured bacterium. RNAcentral describes it as "bacterial SSU rRNA". It matches the Rfam family "Bacterial small subunit ribosomal RNA", at positions 349 to 793 of the family's 1533-position model. The record is from RNAcentral.
CAGCAGUGGGGAAUAUUGCACAAUGGGCGCAAGCCUGAUGCAGCCAUGCCGCGUGUAUUGAAGAAGGCCUUCGGGUUGUAAAGUACUUUCAGCAGUGAGGAAGGUGGGUAUGUUAAUAGCAUAUUCAUUUGACGUUAGCUGCAGAAGAAGCACCGGCUAACUCCGUGCCAGCAGCCGCGGUAAUACGGAGGGUGCGAGCGUUAAUCGGAAUUACUGGGCGUAAAGCGCAUGCAGGUGGUUUGUUAAGUCAGAUGUGAAAGCCCGGGGCUCAACCUCGGAAUUGCAUUUGAAACUGGCAAACUAGAGUACUGUAGAGGGGGUAGAAUUUCAGGUGUAGCGGUGAAAAUGCGUAGAGAUCUAAAGGAAUACCGGUGGCGAAGGCGGCCCCCUGGACAGAUACUGACACUCAGAUGCGAAAGCGUGGGGAGCAAACAGGAUUAGAUACCCUGUAG